Lycium ferocissimum is the source of this 575-nucleotide long non-coding RNA. RefSeq lists it as uncharacterized. The transcript is spliced from 2 exons. NCBI's taxonomy places the organism in Eukaryota, Viridiplantae, Streptophyta, Magnoliopsida, Solanales, Solanaceae. The record is from RefSeq and is a predicted model, not a curated record.
ACUUUCUGUGAAGGCUGUGUUAAGUUUGAUGAUUUUCUUGUUAAAAAAAAAAAAUCAAAAGUGAUUUUAUUGUUUGUUUUCAUAACUGGGAUGAACAUUUAAGUAAGGGAAAGGCCAUGAAUUAGCAACUAGCAAAUCCGAAGAUAUUUAGAAUUAAAUCUAGGAUUAAUUCCAACAAAACCUUAUCAUCUUCUAACAGUUGGAGGAUUUUGUUGAGAUUUGUUGUUGCUGCUGAUUGGCCUUCUACUGUGUCCUCGGAUGAACUCUAACUCUUUUCAUCUGCCAAACUUAGGAAUUUGCGAAGCCAAGGCUUAUGAUGGAGCAUGCAUUAGUACCAGAAAUAAGGAUUUUGAGCACUGUGCUAAAUGGGUUGAUUUGAGCAGUGUGUUAAUUGUAGUACUUCGGGUGUUGAAAGAUUUGAAAAAGGCUAAGGAAAUGAUGAAUUGGGUUGAGAGCUAAAAUAUCAAACACACAGAGCAGUGCCGGCUUGAUGGCUAGGCCAGUAACGCGUUUGCCUUAGGCCACCAUUUUUGGGGGUGCCCAAUUUUUACCAUAAUAGGUUAAUAGAUUUUUUU